AGCGAGGUUGAAGGAGCGAGGCUGGAAGUCAUGAUCCCCCACAAGCACGCUCAGAUCCUUGACGCCACCCAAGAUCGGCAGCAAUGGCAAGACACGCUCCAUCACGUUGGCGGAGUUCCGGAAGGAGUUCCCGAGCGUGAUUGACCUUAGCUUGUUCGACGAGUGGCUCAAACCACAGUAUCGCACACGUCCAUGCAACCACACCCACUCAACGUUCCAGGUAGACGGCCGCAGCUCCACGCACGGCAUGGAGACGGAGCUGAUGAAGAGCCAGCGGAGGUUGGGCAUGUCAAUGAACGUUGGCACCACCGCCACCACCGCAGUCGUCUAUCUCCAGGCAAUCGCGGCUGUGGCUGGUGAGAGGAGAAGUACCGGGCGCGUCCAUCACGAGCGUUCCCAGCCAAAAGUAGACGAGGGAGGUGGAGCUGCUGCAUGGCAGAAACAGUGAAGCUUGUCCUCCUGAUGUCGCAGAAGAGGAGAUUGAGCAGCGGCGGUGGAGUCAUGGUGGUGCCAACAUCGGCAUAGAUGUGGAGGCAGCGCAGCUCCUGGCACGCCGAGACGCUGGACCAAAAGUCUUCAAACUUUAGCCUUGCUGUGCCCCAGAUGCUAAGCGAGUGGACAGUUUUCCCCCAGCGAGUGGAGCACACAUUCUUUCAGACGCGUGGGAAGCGCUUGAUUUCCAAGAAGCGGAGGUUGCUACCCUGAUCUGGAUGGAACCAGCGGACGAGUCCCUCCUCGGCCGCAGGGCUUGACGAAUCCAGGCGGAAGUGAGUGACCCGCCUCGCCAAAUCCUUCCACCUCUUGCUUACCAGGGCACAGCAAUGCAAGUGACGCGAGGAGAGGAGUCGCGCCAAAAUCCGCACCAGCAACUCAUCCGGGAGGUCGUCCAAACGCCGCCGCUGCUCCUUGAUGCUGCUAGCCAUCGAGUGAAGAAACCCUAGGCUGUGUGUCGCACACGUGGCAGACACGUGUCCUCACGGGCAAAAGUUUGGACAAGUAGAGUAUUUGGAGGUGACUUACAAUAUCACGAGAUUUAAAGUAUUGUAUUAAUAUUAAAUUCAGAAAUCCAAAAUAAAGUCCUCUCUACUAGCACCUGGUGAUCAUUCGUUUCAAGUUUAGAGAAACAAAGAAAAUACCUUGAAGAUUAAGGUCUAACGAAACAAAGUCUAUGUGGAUUUGAGUGGGGCACCUGGGAAGAAGCGCGAGAAGCUCCGUGAACCGCUCUGGGCCUGAGAGAUCAAGAGACACGACGUGCUUGAGAAACAAGUACCUAGCUUAUGGAUAUUUUCUCUGGAAUCAUGUUGGCGAGGUAGAGUGCUACGCAGGACGUGGGCGUGGAGCGCGGGAUUCCGCGGGUCGCCAUACAGCCAGAAGCCGCUCCGUGGCAGCCACGUUGGCAGACACGCUGGCAAUUGUAAGAACAAAAAAGUGCAUUGCUUCGCUGCGAUCGUGUUACAAAAGAAAGAUCGAGCCUUUCUCCCGUUCAUCACUCACGAUGAGUCGGUUUAUUCACCUCUUCCUCGCUUCCAGCCGGCUUCUGAUCGUGCUCCUUCGAAUCGGUGUCUUCUUCCUCCUCCUUGGUGCCGGUGGAUUCCUGGGCGAUUUCCUCAUCGCCGAUUUCCUCAUCCUGCUCCUCCAUCUGCUCCUCCAUCGAGAAGUUGUCACCCACUCUGGCCUUUGGAUCGUCGACAGGAGGGGCUGGAGGGGCUGCCUGAUCGCGCUCUUCUUCUUCACCCCCCCCGUCCUCUACAAAACAAACAGCAGGAAAGCCAAGAUUUUGGUACCUUCGUUGUCCGGAUCCAGCAAGAAGUCGAAGAUCCCAGAGCCUUUGCUCUUCGUGGACAGGAAUCGGCGAUGGCGAUCAAGAAGCAUCGAAGAGGGUGGAGCGCCAACGUGAUUGUGGGGAGCGAUUGUUGCAUGAGAGCCAGCGAAGACGAUCCGCUUGGUAGCAGCAGCACGAGCACAACGCAGGGAGAAUGCGAGCAUCUUGAGAGCCAUUGUGCUCGAUCGAUCGCAACGCAACAGAGAGAAACAAGAGGGAUGAAUGGCCGUGGCCAGAUUUUUUUAUACUUGUGAAUGAGCCAGAGCGUGAGAUAAAAAAGAUCAAAAAGGUUACGCUCAUCAUAAUCUAGUUUUCUUGUUUUCUUUUAAUAACAAUAAGGUUUCUUGUUCUUUUUUCUUUUAAUAAAGUGGUAUUAAGUGAUACUAAAAAUCUGGCAAGAAUCUCUUUAUACUUGUGAAUGAGCCACUGGUUCAUUCACAAAGUACGUGUUACGUACUACUAGUGCUAGCGUGAGAGAUUUGUGAUAAGAUUUAUUGUUUUUCUUUUAAUAAAGUGGUAUUAAGCGAUACUAAAAAUCCUUGUAUUUCAUCCUUGAUUGUCCAGAAUCUUUUUAUACUUGUGAAUGAGCCACUAUAAAGUACGUGUUACGUACUACUUGUGAUAAGAUUUCUUGUUUUCCUUGGUAUUAAGCGAUAUUAAAAAUCCUUGUAUUUCAUCGUUGAUUGUGGCCCGAAUAUUCUUAUACUUGUGAAUGAGCCACUGGUUCAUUCACAAGGACGUACUACUAGUGCUAGCGAUUUCUUGUUUUUCUUUUUGGUAUUAAGCGAAACUAAAAAUCCUUGUAUUGAUCCUUGAUUGUGACCUGAACCUUUUUAUACUUGCGAGUGAGCCACUGGUUCAUUCACAAAGUACGUGUUACGUACUACUAGUGCUAGCGUGAGAGCUUGUGAUAAGAUUUCUUGUUUUUCUUUUUAAUAAAGUGGUAUUAAGCGAAACUAAAAUUCCUUGUAUUGAUCCUUGAUUCUGGCCUGAAUCUUUUUAUACUUGUGAGUGAGCCACCGGUUCAUUGACAAAGUACGUGUUACGUACUACUAGUGCUAGUGUGAGAGCUUGUGAUAAGAUUUCUUGUUUUUCUUUUUAAUAAAGUGGUAUUAAGCGAAACUAAAAAUCUUUGUAUUGAUCCUUGCUUGUGGCCUGAAUCUUUUUAUACUUGUGAAUGAGCCACUGGUUCACUCACAAAGUACGUUUGUAGGCAAAAAAGAUAAUCAAGAAUACAGUUCCCGACGUCGAGUCUAAGUCAGGAACGCGUUCUUCACCGAUGUGUCUUAUCUUUCAUCUCUUUGGAGGCCAGCCCAGAAUGCGUGACAAGGACGAUGGCAGCGUCAUGACAUACAAAGUUCUUGGAGCAAUCGUGAGACAAUACCAGCAAGCCUUCCACUCAGGCAUCCUGCGAUCCUAAAAAUUCUCCUGUUGUUCUCAGGUUGAAAGUUCUUAAGUUUUGUUGUCACUGCCAAGCACAGCCUUCAAAUGCGGAUGUUUCCAUAGAAUGCAUGUGUUUGCACCAGUGCUGGAUUGCUGUGUAUGGAGGCUCCGACUUGAAUCUAGCCUCCUGGGUGCGCCACAGCAUCCGACACUGCGCAGGCACAUCAAAGAGCAACGGAUGUACCUUGAUACGACCAGGAAAAGCUUGCGAGAGCACCUCAAAAGCGGCAGGAACUUGUGGCCGGAAGUCAGGAGGCUCAUAUCUGUAAACGAAGCCUCUCAAAUCGAGCAGCCUCACGCACUCGCUGCUCCUCAUGAGUUCCCACAGAAAAUCUAUGUCGUCGCUCUCCCAGAUGCCACCACUCUCGCUCCUGAAUGCUGCCUCGAUGAACACCAUCAAGGGCGAUUGUCUGCUGCUCCACUUGUCCAGGCUCAGCGCCUGCAAAGAAAGAAAAACAUAAGCGAAUCAGUGAAAGUGAGUUAAACACGAAUCAACUUACCUUGAUGCUUGUACGAGCAAUUCUCAAGACCUCGAGUCCAUGGAAGAGCUCUAGAAAGGCUGCGAGCUUAAAGGAGCGAAGCUGGAAGUCGUGAUCCCCCACAAGCAAGCUCAACUCCUUGACGCCACCCAAGCUUGGCACCAAUGGCAACACACGCUCCAGCACAUUGGCGGGGCUCCGGAAGGAGUUGCUGAGCGUGAUCGACUUUAACUUGUUCAAUGAGUGACACAGUCCCUGGUGGCGAACACGUCCAUGCAACUGCACCCCCUCGAUGUUGCAUGUCGAGGGCCGCAGCUCCACGCACGGCCCUGAGCUGACAGUGAGCCACCGGAGAUUGGGCAUGUCAAUGGC
Molecule: long non-coding RNA, 4116 nt
Filed under: Selaginella moellendorffii
Lineage: Eukaryota; Viridiplantae; Streptophyta; Lycopodiopsida; Selaginellales; Selaginellaceae
Description: long non-coding RNA (SMOE_LNC001923)
Source: RNAcentral